GGUAUAUGAUGAUUUCCACCUUCUGCUAAGAGGAGCAGUGUCUACUCCACACUACUGUAACACACAAUGUAGUGCAGGAUCUUUCAAUAAGACUCAACAUUCAUUUCUAUAUUAUUCUCUAUUUCAAUAUUCAUUUUCUCAUCAUCUGUAAAGUUUAACCACCAAACAGUCUCCUUUUCUACCCCAUAGAAAUAAAACUGAAUUGAAUUGAACACCUGAAACACACAUGACCCGAGUUCCUGCUGAAGGAAAAAUCACCACAAUAGAACAUAAAGCUUCAUUUGACUGAAGAUAAAUGUGAAGGCAGUUUGACGCAGGUCUACGUGAUGAUGUAAUGACUGUAUUUAUGGUGUCGUUUAAAACAUCUGUGCCUAGAAAGCUCUUGCUUCCUUUCCCCUGAUUAUAUUCUGAGCUAAAAGAGCAGACGAUCAGCUCCUGUCAGAGCACCUGGCUGAUAAAAGAUCAAUCUACUUAGGAAGAAAAUAAUGAAAAGCUUACGUCAUUGCAGAUCCAUAAAUCCAGCUGUACACUGCAGAGAGUCUGCAAAGUAGCCGAUCUGCUCCAUAAUCUUCAUCACCUGGAAAAGAGUUCUGUUCUAACCUGUAGACUAGAGAUCUAGGUCUGUAUCUUCAGGAGGUUCAGACUGUAGGAAAGGGGCUGAUGGGAGAAGUGCUUGGAUGUUCUACAAGGCUGUGGGUAACUUCCUGUCUCUAUCUAAACAAUCUAUGACUUUACUGGUUUGAAACAUAAAGGUUUUAUUUGUCGGAAGUUGCUUUAUAGUCCCGUGUGUUAAAUGCUGAAAUAAUGUAGAACAUCUGGAUCUGGUAAAUGAAUCAGAAUUGUUUAAAUCUUUAAUAAAAGACGAGGACACACACACUGGGCCUCAUUUACCAAUCCUUUAGUAAAGUUGUGUGUGAAUGUUUGCACAGACCCGGGCGUCCUUCUUUUACACACUGCCGUUUCUUCUUAAUUGAGUGACGAGUCAUAUUUAUAUUCAUUUACGGAUUUGUGUUGACUUGCGCUCGUUAAUUAUUUUCUUCACGUUUAAAAUGUCUUUAAUUGAAGACAUGAAACAGCUGGUUUCACUAAAAUCUCAUUCCAUGUGUUUGUACAUUUGUACAUGUGUGACUGAAAUCAAUAAGAUCUAUAAACCUGACAGCAUCAUCUGUAUAUAAAAGUGCAGUAAUCCAUGACAAUUAUACGGACAUCAGCGAGGAGGUAAGGAAUAUUGUGCUGUUGUUGUGAUUGUUCAUUUCUGAAAGGUUUUGUUCCUAUUUUCUGACUGAAUUCUGGUUUAUUUUCAGGACUCACCAGAAGAUUCUGCUAACAUCAGCAUCCUUCCUGAAGCACGUGGCUCUGAGAAGAUUGCACAUGUACAGUCGGCCAUGUUAGACGUUAGCAGUCCAAGAGGUUCCUGCCAGUAUCUGCUCUGAAGGUGAAGAGUGGAGGACCAGGACGACCCCACUAACAAAUCAAAAGCAGGUCAUUAACUUGGUGGAGGACUUUCAUUCCACUGGCCCACUCACGUCAGAAUUCAGUGGAGCUCAAUUCACAGCAGAGAUGGAAUCUGUUCUAGAUAAUAAUACACUGCUUUUGUCCUUUGAGUCUCGGAGCAUUGGGCACAGCAGGCUUUGGUUCUACAGUGAUACAGUCACGGUACAAAACCCUCUGUUACACUACAGUGACCACACACACACACACACACACACACACACACACACACAUACGCGCACACACACACACACACACACACACACACACACACACACACACACACACACACACACACACACUCACACGUUUCCAUAGAGAGAGGUUCCACUUUGCAUUAGCAGCUCAUGCUUCAGCGCUCUGCGAGUGUUUAUAGCCCUGUGACUUUAACACUUCAUGACUGAGAGCUGCUGCUCAGCGACUUCACCCACAGCAACCAUGAGUUUGAUCAGCGUCUUCAUCUGCACACUGGCCCUCUGCGCACGAGGAUCCAGAGGUCAGGUGACUGUGACUCAGAGUCCUGCAGUGAAACCUGUUUCUCCAGGAGAGACACUCACCAUCAGCUGUAAAACCAGCUCUGAUGUUUACCGCUGGAGUGAUGGAGAUGAAGGAAUAUUCUGGUAUCAGCAGAAAGCUGGAGAAGCUCCUAAACUCCUGAUAAGAUAUGUGAAGAAGUUAGAGUCAGGUAUUCCAGCUCGUUUCAGUGGCAGUGGAUCUGGAUCUGAUUUCACUCUGACCAUCAGUGGAGUCCAGACUGAAGAUGCUGGAGAUUAUUACUGUCAGAGUUAUCAUAGUGGUAAUGUGUUCACACAGUGUUAGAGCGUCGUACAAAAACCUGUGUGAGUGUGACUGCUGCAGCUGGGACCUACUGCAGGUGCUGAGGGGGACGAUGUGAUACAGCACAAUCACACACACACACACACACAAUCACACACACACACACACACACACACACACACACACACACACACACACACACACACACACACACACACACACACUCACACGUCCACUGCAGGAUAAAUUUGAUGAAGGUGAAUUUACAGUAAGUUUAUAUUAUUGAGCUGGCUUUGCUGAAUCAUACAGCUGUGUAUCAUCAGCCUAGCAGUGGAAGCUAACAGCAUGUUAAUGGAUCAUUUUACCCAGAGGUAGCAUGUACAGGGAAAAGCAGUGGGUGUAGAACAGAGCU
Non-coding RNA from Ictalurus punctatus (channel catfish), 2680 nucleotides. Lineage: Eukaryota; Metazoa; Chordata; Actinopteri; Siluriformes; Ictaluridae. The record is from the annotation of a RefSeq genome assembly.